This 357-nucleotide ribosomal RNA is filed under the name uncultured bacterium. Its description in RNAcentral is "bacterial SSU rRNA". It matches the Rfam family "Bacterial small subunit ribosomal RNA", at positions 30 to 391 of the family's 1533-position model. The record is from RNAcentral.
AUUGAACGCUGGCGGAAUGCUUUACACAUGCAAGUCGAACGGCAGCACGGGGCAACCUGGUGGCGAGUGGCGAACGGGUGAGUAAUACAUCGGAACGUGCCCAAUCGUGGGGAUAACGUAGCGAAAGUUACGCUAAUACCGCAUACGAUCUACGGAUGAAAGCGGGGAUCGCAAGACCUCGCGCGAAUGGAGCGGCCGAUGUCAGAUUAGGUAGUUGGUGGGGUAAAGGCUCACCAAGCCGACGAUCUGUAGCUGGUCUGAGAGGACGACCAGCCACACUGGGACUGAGACACGGCCCAGACUCCUACGGGAGGCAGCAGUGGGGAAUUUUGGACAAUGGGCGCAAGCCUGAUCCAG